This 72-nucleotide transfer RNA is filed under the name Patescibacteria group bacterium. Its description in RNAcentral is "tRNA-Arg". It matches the Rfam family "tRNA". Rfam says of the family: Transfer RNA (tRNA) molecules are approximately 80 nucleotides in length. Their secondary structure includes four short double-helical elements and three loops (D, anti-codon, and T loops). The record is from RNAcentral.
GCUCUCAUAGUUCAAUGGAUAGAACAGAAGUUUCCGGAACUUCCGAUGUGGGUUCGAUUCCCCCUGAGAGCA